This 77-nucleotide transfer RNA is filed under the name Planctomycetota bacterium. RNAcentral's name for it is "Planctomycetes bacterium tRNA-Arg". It matches the Rfam family "tRNA". From Rfam's summary of the family: Transfer RNA (tRNA) molecules are approximately 80 nucleotides in length. RNAcentral also lists the same sequence under 1 other name. Lineage: Bacteria; Pseudomonadati; Planctomycetota. The record is from RNAcentral.
GCGCCUGUGGCUCAACUGGAUAGAGCAUCUGACUACGGAUCAGAAGGUUGGGGGUUCGAAUCCUCCCAGGCGCACCA